RNAcentral lists this ribosomal RNA (431 nucleotides) under uncultured Desulfobulbaceae bacterium. RNAcentral's name for it is "bacterial SSU rRNA". It matches the Rfam family "Bacterial small subunit ribosomal RNA", at positions 358 to 780 of the family's 1533-position model. The record is from RNAcentral. Lineage: Bacteria; Pseudomonadati; Thermodesulfobacteriota; Desulfobulbia; Desulfobulbales; Desulfobulbaceae.
GGAAUAUUGCGCAAUGGGGGAAACCCUGACGCAGCGACGCCGCGUGGGUGAGGAAGGCUUUCGGGUCGUAAAGCCCUGUCAGAUGGGAAGAAAUGCAUGAGGGUUAAUAGCUUUUGUGUUUGACGGUACCAUCAAAGGAAGCACCGGCUAACUCCGUGCCAGCAGCCGCGGUAAUACGGAGGGUGCAAGCGUUGUUCGGAAUCACUGGGCGUAAAGGGCGCGCAGGCGGCCUUGCAAGUCAGAUGUGAAAGCCCACGGCUCAACCGUGGAAGUGCAUUUGAAACUGCUUGGCUUGAGUAUCAGAGGGGAAGGUGGAAUUCCCGGUGUAGAGGUGAAAUUCGUAGAUAUCGGGAGGAAUACCGGUGGCGAAGGCGACUUUCUGGCUGAAUACUGACGCUGAGGCGCGAAAGCGUGGGGAGCAAACAGGAUUA